AUUGAACGCUGGCGGCAGGCCUAACACAUGCAAGUCGAGCGGAUGAAGGGAGCUUGCUCCUGGAUUCAGCGGCGGACGGGUGAGUAAUGCCUAGGAAUCUGCCUGGUAGUGGGGGAUAACGUCCGGAAACGGGCGCUAAUACCCCAUACGUCCUGAGGGAGAAAGUGGGGGAUCUUCGGACCUCACGCUAUCUGAUGAGCCUAGGUGGGAUUAGCUAGUUGGUGGGGUAAAGGCCUACCAAGGCGACGAUCCGUAACUGGUCUGAGAGGAUGAUCAGUCACACUGGAACUGAGACACGGUCCAGACUCCUACGGGAGGCAGCAGUGGGGAAUAUUGGACAAUGGGCGAAAGCCUGAUCCAGCCAUGCCGCGUGUGUGAAGAAGGUCUUCGGAUUGUAAAGCACUUUAAGUUGGGAGGAAGGGCAGUAAGUUAAUACCUUGCUGUUUUGACGGUACCAACAGAAUAAGCACCGGCUAACUUCGUG
RNAcentral lists this ribosomal RNA (484 nucleotides) under uncultured bacterium. Its description in RNAcentral is "partial 16S ribosomal RNA". It matches the Rfam family "Bacterial small subunit ribosomal RNA", at positions 30 to 507 of the family's 1533-position model. The record is from RNAcentral.